AGUAGCACAAUUGCCAUAUAACCCGAUAGGAGCCGAAUAUUUCUAACACAUCUUUUGCAAUUUGAGUUGGGAUAGGUUUGGAGUUCGUGUUCAACUGUCGUUGCUAUAGCAUACUUGAUUAGAAUUACCACCAACAAACUCAUCUCCCAAGAUAAUUGUUUUCCCAAAGAAGCCAAAGAAGCUAAUGCUUGAACGGUAGAUAAUAUUACAUUUCCUGUCCUGUUUUAUACAU
This 232-nucleotide unclassified non-coding RNA is filed under the name Hevea brasiliensis (rubber tree). The record is from RNAcentral. Lineage: Eukaryota; Viridiplantae; Streptophyta; Magnoliopsida; Malpighiales; Euphorbiaceae.